Molecule: ribosomal RNA, 506 nt
Filed under: uncultured bacterium
Lineage: Bacteria
Description: partial 16S ribosomal RNA
Rfam family: Bacterial small subunit ribosomal RNA
Source: RNAcentral
AUUGAACGCUGGCGGCAGGCUUAACACAUGCAAGUCGAGCGGUAACAGAGAGAAGCUUGCUUCUCUGCUGACGAGCGGCGGACGGGUGAGUAAUGCCUAGGAAUCUGCCUAGUAGUGGGGGAUAACUUGCCGAGAGGUAAGCUAAUACCGCAUACGUCCUACGGGAGAAAGGAGGGGACCUUCGGGCCUUUCGCUAUUAGAUGAGCCUAGGUCGGAUUAGUUAGUUGGUGAGGUAAUGGCUCACCAAGACCGCGAUCCGUAACUGGUCUGAGAGGAUGAUCAGUCACACUGGAACUGAGACACGGACCAGACUCCUACGGGAGGCAGCAGUGGGGAAUAUUGAACAAUGGGGGGAACCCUGAUCCAGCCAUGCCGCGUGUGUGAAGAAGGUCUUAGGAUUGUAAAGCACUUUAAGUUGGGAGGAAGAGCAGUUAACUAAUAUUUGACUGUUUUGACGUUACCGACAGAAUAAGCACCGGCUAACUUCGUGCCAGCCGCCGCAGUAA